Molecule: transfer RNA, 96 nt
Filed under: Pseudomonas sp.
Lineage: Bacteria; Pseudomonadati; Pseudomonadota; Gammaproteobacteria; Pseudomonadales; Pseudomonadaceae
Also listed under: 1 other name
Description: tRNA-Sec
Rfam family: Selenocysteine transfer RNA
Source: RNAcentral
GGAAGGCAAUCGCGCCUGGUGGCGCGGCCGGGCUUCAAACCCGGUUGGGGACGGCAUCCGUUCCCGGGCAGGUUCGACUCCGGCUGCCUUCCGCCA